AAGACGGAGUGGAGAAGUAGAGGAAGUGCGGCACCAAAUUCCAUCCGUGCCAGCUACCAGGCCUACCUUCCUCUAGCUUCGCUUCAUCUACUACGGCUUCGCAAUGUAUGAAAGCGGUUUCGAGUCAUCCUUCAUUGCCGAUGAUACAGCGACUGGCCACACGUCAGAUCUGCCUCCGCUGUCGAUGACAGAAGAGGUCAAGCCAGGUAA
Long non-coding RNA from Ornithodoros turicata, 210 nucleotides. RefSeq lists it as uncharacterized. The transcript is spliced from 4 exons. NCBI's taxonomy places the organism in Eukaryota, Metazoa, Arthropoda, Arachnida, Ixodida, Argasidae. The record is from RefSeq and is a predicted model, not a curated record.